AAGUCGUAACAAGGUUUCCGUAGGUGAACCUGCGGAAGGAUCAUUAACACGUAUCCACGUAUCAACCCCUUUGUGCUUUUUACGUUUUGACGUCCCUGCCUUGAGUGUGAAUUUCUGAGGUUGCGCGAGAAUCGAAUGGUGUCUCUUCGGAGGCAUUCUCGUGUUGCUGUUGUGAGCCUGCCCUUUCGGGGGUGGGUAAACACAGGGGUUCGCAUUCUAUCGUGCAGGUUCAAUGUUAGCCAUUCUAGCAUGCCCUUUUUUAUAACUAAACCCUUUGUAAACAUCUUGCUAACUUAAUUUGACUUGGGUUCUUGCAUCGACGCUUGCGUUGAAGUAGGGCUUAUUUCAAUAUUACGAAAUGCUUGACAACUCUUAGCAACGGAUAUCUUGGUUCUC
This 396-nucleotide unclassified non-coding RNA is filed under the name fungal sp. RNAcentral's name for it is "partial internal transcribed spacer region". The stretch from base 1 to 46 matches the Rfam family "Eukaryotic small subunit ribosomal RNA", at positions 1786 to 1831 of the family's 1831-position model. The record is from RNAcentral. Lineage: Eukaryota; Fungi.